AGCAGCCGCGGUAAUUCCAGCUCCAAUAGCGUAUAUUAAAGUUGUUGCAGUUAAAAAGCUCGUAGUUGAAUUUCGGGGUUAGUAGGUUGGUCAUGCCUCUGGUAUGUACUGGUCUCACUGAUUCCUCCUUCCUGAUGAGCCGUAAUGCCAUUAAUUUGGUGUUGCGGGGAAUUUGGACUGUUACUUUGAAAAAUUAGAGUGUUUAAAGCAAGCUCGCGCUUGAAUACAUUAGCAUGGAAUAAUGAAAUAGGACGUUUGAUUCUAUUUUGUUGGUUUCUAGGAUCGACGUAAUGAUUAAUAGGGAUAGUUGGGGGCAUUAGUAUUCAAUUGUCAGAGGUGAAAUUCUUGGAUUUAUUGAAGACUAACUACUGCGAAAGCAUUUGCCAAGGAUGUUUUCAUUAAUCAAGAACGAAAGUUAGGGGAUCGAAGACGAUCAGAUACCGUCGUAGUCUUAACCAUAAACUAAUGCCGACUA
Molecule: ribosomal RNA, 475 nt
Filed under: uncultured Glomus
Lineage: Eukaryota; Fungi; Glomeromycota; Glomeromycetes; Glomerales; Glomeraceae
Description: SSU rRNA
Rfam family: Eukaryotic small subunit ribosomal RNA
Source: RNAcentral